RNAcentral lists this transfer RNA (73 nucleotides) under Exophiala oligosperma. RNAcentral describes it as "tRNA-Gly (CCC) (tRNA-Gly-CCC-1-1)". It matches the Rfam family "tRNA". From Rfam's summary of the family: Transfer RNA (tRNA) molecules are approximately 80 nucleotides in length. The record is from RNAcentral. Lineage: Eukaryota; Fungi; Ascomycota; Eurotiomycetes; Chaetothyriales; Herpotrichiellaceae.
GCUGAUGUAGUGCAGUGGUAUAGCAUAUCCCUUUCCCAAGGGGAAGACCUGGGCUCAAACCCCGGCAUCAGCA